CGGGACGUGGCGCAGCCCGGUAGCGCGCACCCUUGGGGUGGGUGAGGUCGAGAGUUCGAAUCUCUCCGUUCCGACCA
RNAcentral lists this transfer RNA (77 nucleotides) under Cohnella yongneupensis. Its description in RNAcentral is "tRNA-Pro". It matches the Rfam family "tRNA". From Rfam's summary of the family: Transfer RNA (tRNA) molecules are approximately 80 nucleotides in length. Their secondary structure includes four short double-helical elements and three loops (D, anti-codon, and T loops). Further hydrogen bonds mediate the characteristic L-shaped molecular structure. tRNAs have two regions of fundamental functional importance: the anti-codon, which is responsible for specific mRNA codon recognition, and the 3' end, to which the tRNAs corresponding amino acid is attached (by aminoacyl-tRNA synthetases). tRNAs cope with the degeneracy of the genetic code in two manners: having more than one tRNA (with a specific anti-codon) for a particular amino acid; and 'wobble' base-pairing, i.e. permitting non-standard base-pairing at the 3rd anti-codon position. RNAcentral also lists the same sequence under 6 other names. The record is from RNAcentral. Lineage: Bacteria; Bacillati; Bacillota; Bacilli; Caryophanales; Paenibacillaceae.